AGUUCUCAUCAUGUUACCCCAGAUCUUAGAAUUCUCCCCAGUUCUUGUCAUGUUACCCCAGAUCUUAGAACUCUCCCCAGUUCUUGUCAUGUUACCCCAGAUCGUAUUACUCUUCACUAGAGCUUACUAGGUGACCCCAGGGCGUUGCCAAUUAAACCAGCGCAUUUCAUGGUUGCAGGAACCCAGGCUUCCUGUCUUGGGCAAAAAGAUAUG
Non-coding RNA from Pelobates cultripes (western spadefoot toad), 213 nucleotides. The record is from the annotation of a GenBank genome assembly. NCBI's taxonomy places the organism in Eukaryota, Metazoa, Chordata, Amphibia, Anura, Pelobatidae.